AAAGUUCCCUUCGGGGAGCGAGUAGAGUGGCGCACGGGUGUUGUAACACGUAGGUAAUCUACCUUUGGAUUGGGAAUAACAACCGGAAACGGUUGCUAAUACCGAAUAAUGCAGCGGCACCCAAUGGUGACAGUUGUUAAAGCGAGGGAUCGCAAGACCUCGCGUCUGAAGAGGAGCCUGCGGCGGAUUAGCUAGUUGGUAAGGUAACGGCUUACCAAGGCGAUGAUCCGUAGCCGGCCUGAGAGGGCGGUCGGCCACACUGACACUGACAUACGGGUCAGACUCCUACGGGAGGCAGCAGUCGGGAAUUUUGGGCAAUGGGCGAAAGCCUGACCCAGCAACGCCGCGUGAAGGAUGAAAUCCUUCGGGAUGUAAACUUCGCAAGAACAGGAAGAAUAAGUCGGUGCAAAUACCACCGAUGAUGACGGUACUGUUUGUAAGCUCCGGCUAACUCCGUGCCAGCAGCCGCGGUAAUACGGGGGGAGCAAGCGUUGUUCGGAUUUACUGGGCGUAAAGGGCGGGUAGGCGGCCACCGCAAGUCAGUUGUGAAAUCUCCGGGCUUAACCCGGAAAGGUCAACUGAUACUGCGGGGCUAGAGUGCAGAAGGGGCAACUGGAAUUCUCGGUGUAGCGGUGAAAUGCGUAGAUAUCGAGAGGAACACCUGCGGCGAAGGCGGGUUGCUGGGCUGACACUGACGCUGAACUGCGAAAGCUAGGGGAGCGAACGGGAUUAGAUACCCCGGUAGUCCUAGCCUUAAACGAUGAAUGCUUGGUGUCUGGGGUUUUAUAGUCCCCGGGUGCCGUCGCUAACGCUUUAAGCAUUCCGCCUGGGGAGUACGGUCGCAAGGCUGAAACUC
This 856-nucleotide ribosomal RNA is filed under the name uncultured Bacillota bacterium. RNAcentral's name for it is "bacterial SSU rRNA". It matches the Rfam family "Bacterial small subunit ribosomal RNA", at positions 70 to 902 of the family's 1533-position model. The record is from RNAcentral. Lineage: Bacteria; Bacillati; Bacillota.